RNAcentral lists this small RNA (439 nucleotides) under Histoplasma capsulatum var. duboisii H88. Its description in RNAcentral is "Histoplasma capsulatum H88 hypothetical RNA". Lineage: Eukaryota; Fungi; Ascomycota; Eurotiomycetes; Onygenales; Ajellomycetaceae. The record is from RNAcentral.
AUCACACGGGAAGCUAUCCCCCAACAGCUUGGCCUUAGGGCGAUCAAGUUGGCAGCGCCAUCAAAUUUUCAUCACCAAUUUCCAAUCUGCUCAGAGAAAAGAUGAAUUAGAGGCCAUCUCUCACGAAGCGCGUGCUGAUCUGAUUGCUCUGGGGCUGAUUCUCAUCUACCUUUUAAGCCCUGGCCCUUCAUGGGCUGAUUUUCAGAACCAAGUUAAAACUCAAGGAAUCCCCGCCAAUGAUGAGCUCCCAAUCCCAAUUGUUGCAUAUAUGCGCCACAUUUCAACAGCAAAAACGCUUGAUUACCUGACUCUGCGUUCCAUCUUUACUGAGCGCUCGAAAAAUACUCCCCCUGGGGUGGAGUUCCAAGGACAACAAGCAACAAAUACCGGGAGCAUUGAACACCUUUACUGUUCACUUCGCCAACAGCAAGCGACUGCA